Molecule: RNA transcript, 5199 nt
Organism: Camelus dromedarius (Arabian camel)
Lineage: Eukaryota; Metazoa; Chordata; Mammalia; Artiodactyla; Camelidae
Gene: DCLK2
Gene name: doublecortin like kinase 2
Exons: 17
Source: RefSeq, a predicted model, not a curated record
CAGCUUGACGCUGCGGCCACUUUUAGGGGGCGCGGGCCGGCCGGCGCCUCCGCGGCUCCACCUGCGAGGAGAGGGCGGGAUGCCAGAGCCAGGUGUCCCGGCGCUUUAAGGCCCCUCGCUGUGAGGCGUCUCCGAACCGGUUCUCGCCUGGGCUCUCGACACUCGGUUACCUUGAGGCUCUGACUGGGACGUGUUUGGCGGGGCGCCCUCGGAGCCGCCGUGAUGGCCAGCACUAGGAGUAUUGAGCUGGAGCACUUUGAGGAACGGGACAAAAGGCCGCGGCCGGGGUCGCGGAGAGGGGCGCCCAGCUCCUCCGGGGGCAGCAGCAGCUCGGGCCCCAAGGGGAACGGGCUCAUCCCCAGCCCGGCGCACAGUGCCCACUGCAGCUUCUACCGCACGCGGACCCUGCAGGCCCUGAGCUCGGAAAAGAAGGCCAAGAAGGCGCGCUUCUACCGGAAUGGGGACCGCUACUUCAAAGGCCUGGUGUUUGCCAUCUCCAGCGACCGCUUCCGGUCCUUCGAUGCGCUGCUCAUGGAGCUAACCCGCUCCCUGUCGGACAACGUGAACCUGCCCCAGGGCGUCCGCACCAUCUACACCAUCGACGGCAGCCGGAAGGUCACCAGCCUGGACGAGCUACUGGAAGGUGAGAGUUACGUGUGCGCAUCGAACGAACCAUUCCGUAAAGUUGAUUACACCAAAAACGUUAAUCCGAACUGGUCUGUGAACAUCAAAGGUGGGACCCCUCGCGCCUUGGCUGCCCCCUCCUCGGUGAAGAGUGAGGUGAAGGAAAGUAAAGAUUUCAUCAAACCCAAGUUAGUGACUGUGAUUCGAAGUGGAGUGAAGCCGAGGAAAGCUGUGCGGAUCCUUCUCAAUAAGAAGACUGCUCAUUCCUUUGAACAGGUCUUAACAGAUAUCACGGAAGCCAUUAAACUGGACUCAGGAGUGGUCAAGAGGCUCUGCACGCUGGACGGGAAGCAGGUUACUUGUCUGCAGGACUUUUUUGGUGAUGAUGAUGUUUUUAUUGCAUGUGGACCUGAAAAAUUCCGUUAUGCCCAAGAUGACUUUGUCCUGGAUCACAGUGAAUGCCGCGUCUUGAAGUCAUCUUAUUCUCGCUCGGCAGCUGUUAAGUAUUCUGGAUCCAAGAGCCCUGGGCCUUCUCGACGCAGCAAAUCACCAGCUUCAGUAAAGAGGGGUGGCCACUCCUCCAGUGCCUACUCUGCAGCCAGAUCCCCAGUUAAUGGAACUCCCAGCAGCCAGCUUUCCACUCCUAAGUCUACGAAAUCCUCCAGUUCUUCUCCAACUAGCCCAGGAAGUUUCAGAGGAUUAAAGGUACGAAAUAGGACGUCUGCACAUGGCAGAUCUUCUUCCAAUGUAAAUGGUGGACCUGAACUUGAUCGUUGCAUGAGUCCUGAAGGUGUGAAUGGAAACAGGUGCUCUGAAUCGUCGACUCUUCUGGAGAAAUACAAAAUUGGGAAGGUUAUUGGUGACGGCAAUUUUGCAGUAGUCAAAGAGUGCAUGGACAGGUCCACUGGAAAGGAGUUUGCCCUAAAGAUUAUAGACAAAGCCAAAUGUUGUGGAAAGGAACAUCUGAUUGAGAAUGAAGUGUCGAUACUGCGCAGAGUGAAGCAUCCAAAUAUCAUCAUGCUGGUUGAGGAGAUGGAAACGGCCACUGAGCUCUUUCUGGUGAUGGAAUUGGUCAAAGGUGGAGAUCUCUUUGAUGCCAUCACCUCUUCAACCAAGUACACCGAGAGAGAUGGCAGUGCCAUGGUGUACAACCUGGCCAGCGCCCUCAGGUACCUCCACGCCCUCAGCAUCGUGCACAGAGACAUCAAGCCAGAGAACCUCUUGGUGUGUGAAUAUCCCGAUGGAACCAAGUCUUUGAAGCUGGGCGACUUCGGGCUGGCCACCGUGGUGGAAGGCCCUCUGUACACGGUCUGUGGCACCCCGACUUAUGUGGCUCCAGAAAUCAUUGCUGAAACCGGCUAUGGCCUGAAGGUGGACAUUUGGGCGGCUGGCGUGAUCACCUACAUACUCCUCUGUGGAUUCCCACCCUUCCGAAGUGAGAACAAUCUGCAAGAAGAUCUCUUCGACCAGAUCUUGGCUGGGAAGCUGGAGUUUCCAGCCCCCUACUGGGAUAACAUCACGGACUCAGCAAAGGAAUUAAUCAGUCAGAUGCUUCAGGUAAACGUAGAAGCGCGGUGUACGGCGGGGCAAAUCCUGAGUCACCCCUGGGUGUCAGAUGACGCCUCCCAGGAGAAUAAUAUGCAAGCAGAAGUCACAGGUAAACUAAAACAGCACUUUAAUAAUGCGCUCCCCAAACAGAACAGCACCACGACCGGGGUCUCCGUUAUCAUGGUAAGUGGGACGCGGGGCUCUGCCCUUGCAUAGCUGCAGGGUCUGGCCUGAUGGCCCAGUCGUCACUGAAUCUUGUAAAGUCAGUAGCUGAGAGCUUCCUCCCGUGGUGGUGGGCGCCUUCCACGCUCCUUUCCCCACCUCAGGAACGGCUUGGCAUGUGAAGGGCGCCUUUUGGCCGACUCCUGGGCCUUGAGUCCUCGGAUGAGAGGUUGCACAGGUCCCGGCAAGGCCAGGCUGACGGGCCUCUGGCCAGGGAGCCCCGGCCUUCUCUCCUGAGGGAGCCCCAGCGCCCUCCUGGCAGCUGCUUCUGUUCUCAUCUCUGCUCUCCAGCCCUGAGCCCAGGCGGGACUGACAGUGUAAGGAAGUAACUCCCUGAUCCCCCAGGCUUCACAAAUAGAUUGAGAUCUGAAUUAAUCUUUGGGACUUGGGAUAAGAAAGAGCCAGAGUUAAAUCCAUUAAAAAAAAAAUCGGUGUUUUGGACUUUUAAAAGUUGAGAACAAUGAGAAAAAUACUAGUUUUUUUCAAGGUUGGUAAAAUUUUAUGAGAAGUCAGUAAUAGUGGUCCCUGUAUUUCUUCAGAUCUUCCUUCUUCCAAAAUGUUUAAGGUAGCUUACCUAAAUCCACAAGCGCAGCAGAUGACCCAUGGCAUUAAAGUACGUGAAGUAACGUUAAAGUAAGUUCAGCAAAAGGGAGGAGAAGGGAGGAAAAAUAAAAUUGAGCCAGAAGUGUGUUCAGCACACCCACCACCAGCUGUCCAGACCCAAGUUCUUGCCGAGGUGGGGCCGUGUCCCCAGCGUGUCCCCACCUACCUCGGUGCCACGACUGAAGCACCAGCACCUCGGCUGUGAUCUCUGUUCCCCCCCCACACGGCUCACAGAAUCAGGGAGCUGGCGGCGACUUCCUUCCCCAGAGCAGACAGUCAGACUGUGUAAGGAGAAGGCGUCUUGGCCCCCCCGGACAGUGAGAAUCCACGGCUUGUUGGGUCCCCAGAAGCUGGACAGAGAGUGACGGGCUGUCUCCCCGGCUCCAUCUGGAGAGCCCGCCCCCUCUGGAGAGCUUCUGGUUUCCUCCCCGACUGGAAGGAGAACAGUUGCAAUUCUUGUGGCACAUUGAAGUCUAGGAACCUCCCCUCCAAGGACUCGGGUCCAGGUGGAAGCUGGAGGGAACCCACCUUGUGAGUGUGGCCUGCGCGCUGUGUCCCUGGGCCUCCAGCGCUGUCCCAGCACUGCUGGUUUGUCCUCCUCCCUGGGGAGGCCGCAUGUGUUUGGUGGCUGUCUGUCUGUCCUCGGGGCUCCUCCUGCUGGGAAGCUGCCGCCCGCCCCAAGGCUCACACGUGGGUCCCCUGACAAGUUGUGGGACCUUGGGGUGCUCUGCGCCAAAAUAGUGAGGCCUCUGGAGUUGUGGUCUUCCUGGCACUUAGCAGUUCUGCUGAAGCCUAGGAGAGCCAGGGUUGUCACAGACUUGCAGAAGAGAGCCUUUGGAAAGAGCCACCUUGACUGAGCCCCCAGCGCGAGGUUGAUUCCCAGCGAAAAGGCUGCCGGGAGGGUGAGGCCUUGCAGCCUGGCAGGAAUUGAGAAAAAUUGGAAACACUGAAAAUUGGGACCCUCAACAUGUAAUCAAAAACCUUAAGAUUGAUUUUAUUAGAAGUACAAUUUAAUAAGCACAUAUUAACGAAGCAUCUGCGUCUCCUAGUGGACGAGCCUUUGUAGGGUGGGCCGGGCUCACCCAAGUUCUCCCCGAGUUCCCGGGGUCGCCUGUUGACUCAUGGCCCAUGGGAAUGGAUGGCGUGAGGCCUGUGGCCUGCCACAGUUCUGGAAUGAUCAGCCCUUCUGGCCCAGUGUAAGCUCUGUUCUGCAGAAGGAGGUUUCAGCCCUCUUACCCACAGAAACCUAUCUUAUGGUUUACAAAUGGCAUUUUUUCCAUUUGCUGAUGGAGUUCAACCGUUAAAUUUCAAACUCCUGAACUUUUAACAGGAUGUUUGUGUGAAUGAACAAGGCUCUCCCAUUUGUAAUCCGAGCGGUGAUUGUAAAAGUUGUAUGUUCACGUGUGUGUUCAGUGUCACCUUGGGCAUGUUGGCUGGGCUCCAUUCAACCCCACGUCUCCUACACAACUCUGCAGCUCGUGAGCGCUGGGAAGUGCUGGCGGAUGUCCUCACUCUCAGUACCUGCGGGAGAAAUCAGGGAAGCCUGUCCCUGGAGGUACCAAUUCUCAACGGCCAAAAAGCCAGCCUGUGAAUUUUGGCUUGUCCCCAAAAGCAGGGGCGAGAAGGCAGCUGAGGAGCCUGCCUGGGGCACGGUUGUGUGGGGGCGGCUUGCAGCUGCUUCCAUGGCUUCAUCCUCGUCCUCGUCACCAUUGCUGCGUGUCUGUGUCCUGGCCUUGGGAACAGUUUCAAAUGUUUAUUUAAAAAUCAUUCAUCAGAAAUACCUCUCCCUGGUGUUUAUAUGUUCUCAUAGCUGGAGUAUGUGAGGCUUGUGUGGUUUCCUACGGAUACAAAUGGUGGUGGAACCGGUGGGGACGCUUCAGGAGCUGUCAACCCCAGACGGAGCCUUCCUCUGUGCUGCUCCCCACCCCUGCCGUGUCCUCUCCACCUCAGCCCCCCAGAGUUGGAGCCUGAGGCUCCCCUGAGAAAGUUACAGGCUAGGAUGGUAAAUAGCAGUGCAAGAAAGUAAAGCUGAUGCUGUUGUCUGCGUUUUGUUUGACAGUUUGAUUUGACAGUUUGAGAGACACUUCAGAGUUUCAGUGUGUACCCCGUUCAGACUCUGGGGAUCCUGGAGCAGAAUUCGGAACACGGCUCUAGAUAAGGAGGGGCAGAUCUUCGGCGGCCCCAAGCUCUGCGCGGACGGCA